RNAcentral lists this ribosomal RNA (2077 nucleotides) under Triticum aestivum (bread wheat). Its description in RNAcentral is "eukaryotic LSU rRNA". The stretch from base 377 to 2077 matches the Rfam family "Eukaryotic large subunit ribosomal RNA", at positions 1 to 1696 of the family's 3401-position model. The record is from RNAcentral. Lineage: Eukaryota; Viridiplantae; Streptophyta; Magnoliopsida; Poales; Poaceae.
ACUCUCGCAACGGAUAUCUCGGCUCUCGCAUCGAUGAAGAACGUAGCGAAAUGCGAUACCUGGUGUGAAUUGCAGAAUCCCGCGAACCAUCGAGUCUUUGAACGCAAGUUGCGCCCGAGGCCACUCGGCCGAGGGCACGCCUGCCUGGGCGUCACGCCAAAACACGCUCCCAACCACCCUCAACGGGAUUCGGGAUGCGGCAUCUGGUCCCUCGUCUCUCAAGGGACGGUGGACCGAAGAUUGGGCUGCCGGCGUACCGCGCCGGACACAGCGCAUGGUGGGCGUCCUCGCUUUAUCAAUGCAGUGCAUCCGGCGCGCAGCUGGCAUUAUGGGCCUUUGAACGACCCAACAAACGAAGCGCACGUCGCUUCGACCGCGACCCCAGGUCAGGCGGGACUACCCGCUGAGUUUAAGCAUAUAAAUAAGCGGAGGAGAAGAAACUUACAAGGAUUCCCCUAGUAACGGCGAGCGAACCGGGAGCAGCCCAGCUUGAGAAUCGGGCGGCUGUGCCGUCCGAAUUGUAGUCUGGAGAGGCGUCCUCAGCGACGGACCGGGCCCAAGUCCCCUGGAAAGGGGCGCCUGGGAGGGUGAGAGCCCCGUCCGGCCCGGACCCUGUCGCCCCACGAGGCGCCGUCAACGAGUCGGGUUGUUUGGGAAUGCAGCCCAAAUCGGGCGGUAGACUCCGUCCAAGGCUAAAUACAUGCGAGAGACCGAUAGCGAACAAGUACCGCGAGGGAAAGAUGAAAAGGACUUUGAAAAGAGAGUCAAAGAGUGCUUGAAAUUGCCGGGAGGGAAGCGGAUGGGGCCGGCGAUGCGCCCCCGGCCGUAUGCGGAACGGCUCUUGCUGGUCCGCCGCUCGGCUCGGGGUGUGGACUGUUGUCGGCCGCGCCGGCGGCCAAAGGCCCGGGGGCCCUAGGUGCCCCCGGUGGCCGUCGUCGGCACGGCCGGUACCCCGCGCGCCUAAAGGCGUGUCCCUCGGGGCACUGCGCUGCAACGGCCUGCGGGCUCCCCCAUCCGACCCGUCUUGAAACACGGACCAAGGAGUCUGACAUGCGUGCGAGUCGACGGGUUCUGAAACCUGGGAUGCGCAAGGAAGCUGACGAGCGGGAGGCCCUCACGGGCCGCACCGCUGGCCGACCCUGAUCUUCUGUGAAGGGUUCGAGUUGGAGCACGCCUGUCGGGACCCGAAAGAUGGUGAACUAUGCCUGAGCGGGGCGAAGCCAGAGGAAACUCUGGUGGAGGCUCGAAGCGAUACUUGACGUGCAAAUCGUUCGUCUGACUUGGGUAUAGGGGCGAAAGACUAAUCGAACCAUCUAGUAGCUGGUUCCCUCCGAGUUUCCCUCAGAUAGCUGGAGCGCAUACGAGUUUCUAUAGGUGUUAAAGCCAAUGAUUAAGAGGCAUGGGUGACGCAACGUCCCCCAUGACCCAUAUUCUCCAAACUUAAAUAGGUAGGAUGACGCGGCUGCUUCGGGUGAAGCCGUGCCAUGGAAUCGGGGUGCUCCAAGUGGGCCAUUUUGGUAAGCAGAACUGGCGAUGCGCGGGAUGAAACCGGAAGCCGGGUUACGGUGCCCAACUGCGCGCUAACCUAGAACCCACAAAGGGUGUUGUCGAUUAAGACGCAGGACGGUGGUCAUGGGAAGUCGCAAAUCCGCUAAGGAGUGUGUAACAACUCACCUGCCGAAUCAACUAGCCCCGAAAAUGCGAUGGCGCUGAAGCGCGCGACCCACACCCGGCCAUCUGGGCGAGCGCCAUGCCCCGAUGAGUAGGAGGGCGCGGCGGCCGCUGCAAAACCCGGGGCGCGAGCCCGGGCGGAGCGGCCGUCGGUGCAGAUCUUGGUGGUAGUAGCAAAUAUUCAAAUGAGAACUUUGAAGGCCGAAGAGGAGAAAGGUUCCAUGUGAACGGCACUUGCACAUGGGUAAGCCGAUCCUAAGGGACGGGGUAACCCCGGCAGAUAGCGCGAUCACGCGCAUCCCCCGAAAGGGAAUCGGGUUAAGAUUUCCCGAGCCGGGAUGUGGCGGUUGACGGCGACGUUAGGAAGUCCGGAGACGCCGGCGGGGGCCUCGGGAAGAGUUAUCUU